AGUCGUAACAAGGUAUCCGUAGGUGAACCUGCGGAUGGAUCAUUACCAAAGAUCCCAUCCUACCUCUUGUGAACUGGUUUUCCACGGUUGGCGCGUUGGUGGCGGCAGCCAUUGUGCCAUUGUGCCAUCGUGCCCUGCGCCACCAAGGCGCCGGCCGUACCCCAAAACACGUAUAUCGAAGCUGAACUAAAGUAUCCGUCUAAGAAUGCUUGGACAACUUUUAGCAAUGGAUCUCUAGGCUCUU
RNAcentral lists this unclassified non-coding RNA (244 nucleotides) under fungal sp. Its description in RNAcentral is "partial internal transcribed spacer region". The stretch from base 1 to 45 matches the Rfam family "Eukaryotic small subunit ribosomal RNA", at positions 1787 to 1831 of the family's 1831-position model. The record is from RNAcentral. Lineage: Eukaryota; Fungi.